CAGUUUUGCCAAGAACUAUUUUGUUAUGCAUGUGGCCGGGAAAACACCCAACUUUAAUGUUCUGGCGGAUUGACUGGCCUGGACGAUUUCUCCUGUGUUUGUGUCACGCUGUCAUCACGAGAGCCUGGCAUAUGAGGUCAUCAUCGGACAAGUCCUACCCUUGCCCAGCUGCGAUCUGACUGUGAUUGCUCACUUGACGUUUUAUCCACCAUCCAGAAAUUAGUCGGUAGACUGCAUGAGUUCAACAACGUACAAGCAGACUACGCGCGUCGAGACCCGCACAAGCUCUCAGCCCCAAACCCGAACGACCGUCGUCCGUUCCUCCCGUCACUCGUCCGGCAUGGCUAACUGCGGCUGGCUCUGGAGUAUCGUCUGGGCACUGAUCCUGCUGGUGCUGGGCUGGCCCAUCGGCAUCCUGUGCGGCAUACUCUACGCCAUCUUCUGCGCCUUUGUGCCGUGCUGCGGCGGCUGCGCCGACUUGGCCAACUUCUUGCACCGGGGGCUGGAGCUGCCGAAGACCUGCGCCGAAAACAUGGUGGCUCAGCGGUCGGGCUGUUAGGUAGAGGAUGCAUCGGGAACAGCAUAGCAGCUGCACGAGCAGGUUCAGAGCAUUGACCUCCGGUAGUUCCAACAAUCUUCCUACACAUGUAGCUCACCCCUUCUGGAAAAGCAAUGAGUCAACACACAUUGCCAGCACGCACUCUUGUUUUUAGCGACAAGGGAAAUACACUCAAAAGUUUGGAGCUUUGAUAAACUGAUUCAUCUUCUUCCUACAGCAGGAUUUAUUAAAUUCAAUUUUUUUCUUUUCAUAAAAGACACAGAAGUGCCCGAAAGACUGGCAACCCGUAAGGCCAUUUAUUAUGCAGUUUCCCAGAAAGUCAUGAAAAUUUUCAUUUUGCAAGGGCGUACUAGUUACACAAACAAACCUUCAGUAUUUGAAUUCCAUAAAGAAAAAGAACAACAUUCUGCACAAAGUGGACUCUGUCCAAUUUUAAACCUUGAACGAGAUAGCACAUGAUCAUUUGCACUCACAGAGGACCUCAAAUAAUGGGAGAAGAAUUUUGCCAGCUCUUAAAAGUCUCAUUCAGAUUAACCCCUGGAGCUCGGCACUAUAGCUGGCACAAUGCUUUCACCAUAGAGUACCGAAGUGUGACGUCAUUUAGAACCAGAAAGUGUAGUGCAAAUGAAUGGAGUACGCACGCGUGUUGGUUCACGGGCUGAAUCACACGCUGAUGUCUUUUACACACACAUUGUGCGCGUGAUGUACUCACUUCGGUACUCUAUAACUGGAGAUUCCGUGUCAUGAGUGUACAGUUAUUUGGUAUCACAACUCUUAUAAGUUAGGAACCUGUCUCGGCCAAUUUCAUGGAGAUGCUUAGCAGAAAGUACGACUUUAGCACGAGAUUGUGCUAAGCAAAAAAUAAAACAGAUGGGGACCAGUCAACAGCAAUAGAAACUGCAUACCAUCAUGGCUGGUUACCUGUUUUUGUUAAGCAAAUAUUUUCCGUGCUUACCACAUUUAUGUGCUGAGUAUAAACUCCAUGAAACUGGCCUCGGCUGUAAUGCUGCUUACAGUAUCCACAAGCGCAGUCUUUAGCGUUUAUCAGUUUUUUUCAUCUUAGAUUUUAAUUAGUCGUAGAAAGUCCAUGUAUAAACUUUGAAGAUGUUGCCGUCUUUUUUUUAACAAAGCAUGAAAGGGUGAUUGUGUACUUAGACAAGUAAAUUUGUGUAUUUUACCUUCAGAAUUUGAAAUCUGUUUAUAAAUAAUAUAAACUUUGGUGCAGGAUUGGGCCCGUUUUCUCCGGUGGGGAGGGCUUGCUUUCACACUUUUCCAAGUGAGUUAUUAUUUUGCUUUUAUGUUUGUUUUGAUGGUAAGGGACACAUAGACACAACUGAAAUUGCUCUUUGGUAAGAA
This 1915-nucleotide long non-coding RNA is filed under the name Patiria miniata (bat star). Its description in RNAcentral is "uncharacterized LOC119742617". Lineage: Eukaryota; Metazoa; Echinodermata; Asteroidea; Valvatida; Asterinidae. The record is from RNAcentral.